This 253-nucleotide ribosomal RNA is filed under the name uncultured bacterium. RNAcentral describes it as "partial 16S ribosomal RNA". It matches the Rfam family "Bacterial small subunit ribosomal RNA", at positions 524 to 776 of the family's 1533-position model. The record is from RNAcentral.
UACGGGGGGGGCAAGCGUUGUUCGGAAUUACUGGGCGUAAAGGGCUCGUAGGUGGCUAACUAAGUCAGACGUGAAAUCCCUCGGCUUAACCGGGGAACUGCGUCUGAUACUGGAUGGCUUGAGAUUGGGAGAGGGAUGCGGAAUUCCUGGUGUAGCGGUGAAAUGCGCAGAUAUCAGGAGGAACACCGGUGGCGAAGGCGGGUCUCUGGGCCGAUACUGACGCUGAGGAGCGAAAGCGUGGGGAGCGAACAGG